AGGGCCACUCCUGCUACAGGUUCCCGGAGACGGGAUCAAAAGGGAAUUCGGAAGGGAAGAUAUUUCUAAUCCGAAGCUGCCCCCGCAACUGUGAUUGGUGAGCGGGCCUGUCAAAUCCCACUGGACGAAAGUCUGGGAAGGGGACAGGCCUAGCGAUGAUCCAAGAGCCAGGAGACCUGCCCGUAGCUGUCGACCUAU
This 198-nucleotide non-coding RNA is filed under the name Sphingomonadales bacterium EhC05. Lineage: Bacteria; Pseudomonadati; Pseudomonadota; Alphaproteobacteria; Sphingomonadales. RNAcentral also lists the same sequence under 1 other name. The record is from RNAcentral.